GGCCUAAUGGUCCUUCUCUGGUAGCUACAAGCAUUGACCAGGGGAUCAAUUAUUGGGCCAGGAAUCAGUUUUCACGCAUUGAUAGGAACCUAAGACUAUUCCAGUUUAAAGUCCAUGGAGCCUAUUAUUUUGAGUUGAUUU
Molecule: non-coding RNA, 141 nt
Organism: Triticum aestivum (bread wheat)
Lineage: Eukaryota; Viridiplantae; Streptophyta; Magnoliopsida; Poales; Poaceae
Source: Rfam